Molecule: long non-coding RNA, 1966 nt
Organism: Hyaena hyaena (striped hyena)
Lineage: Eukaryota; Metazoa; Chordata; Mammalia; Carnivora; Hyaenidae
Exons: 5
Source: RefSeq, a predicted model, not a curated record
CCCUGGUCGGGCCGUGGGGCGGGAAGCUCGGUCCGCGCCGCCGAGUGGGGAAGGCGGGAGCGCGGGCUGCGGAGAGCACACGUCUUAGGCCAGGCCUUUGAGGCCUAACUGUUCCUUAGACCGUAAAACCACAGUCUCAGGCACUCGUGGGGCUAUAAGAAGCCCGGGACGGGGCCAGGACGCGUGCCCUGGGGGCCAGCCCGAGGGCCGCGGUGCAUGACGGUCUGCCCGAGGUCCUGUCAGGCGCCCCGCGCGCUCUGCCCGGGAGGCCUUUUGUGUCCCCGAAGCCCGUGUGUCGUGUACGAAAGCCCUUCUUUGCUGGAACUCGCGGGGACAGCCGAUCCGGCCCGAGUCCGGGGCCACGGGGGCCCACGGGGGUCGGAGCGUGUCCUCAGCCCCCGCGCUCCCACCGCAGGAGUCCAGCGAGAUGGAACCCCCCCCCCCCGGGAACCCGCUGGUGUCUGAGCGGAGGUCCCCGUCUCCUUUUUAUGUCCUUUUCAAGGCACGUUCAACGACCCCCUAGCGCUAGCUGCCUCGGGAGAAAGGGGUACAGAGGCGGGUCUUCCCGAUCCGCAAAAUGUUGGUUUCCGAUUUCCCCGGUGCGCUUUGCCUCCCGUCCGCCUGUGCUCCCAGGUGCUGAGGCCGUUUAGCAGGAUCCCCAGGUGGGCCUGAGGCUGGCUGGCGAUUUGGAACCUGGGGGCCCGAAAACCCCUUAAGAGCCACACAGUAACGCCGCCUGGUGAGCCGAGCGCAGAAGCCCCCAUUGGAGUAGAAAGAAUUAAAACUAGACAGGAGGAGCUCCCGUUUGUCACUCACAGAACUAUGUUAGAUACUAAAGAAGGCUUCCCCACAAUCCAUUUGCAUCUGCUUUGACUGGUGGUUUCUAUCAACCUACAAAGACUGACUUAUUGGUGAGGGCAGCUGGACAACUCUGAGAGCAACUUAGAGAAAUCCAUCUUGGGCACACUCUAUAAAGGAGCUCCUUCUCUGGAAAUAGCACCCCAGAUAAGUGCACAAAAGCAAGACACCCUCGUGGACCUACUUCCUCCCGCUUUCAACACCCUGAUGCCUGAAGCUAUGGACAGUUAUGGCUAAUCCUAGUAGAUUGUCUUCCCUUCUUUUAACAUCUUGGAUGAAUUUGGGGCACACUAAUGUGUUAUGUGAAGAUGGAUGUUGAAUAUACUGUGUAGAUUCACCCCAGCCAGCCAUCUUAAAUUACCUGCAUGGGCCACAGAAAUAUCUGCGGAGAAAGUUGGGUAAAUUCAGUGCAUACGAUGAUAGUGUGUAGAAUUUGACAGCAGUAUCAAGAGCUGAUGAGGAGGAGAAGAUGGAAAGGAGUCUAGCGACUUAAAAAUCUCAUAGCGUUCUCUGUGAGGUGACCUUUUUCCUGUUGGGGGCUCAAUUUAUUUAGGAGAUAAAGAAGAUACUCAGGCCUGUGACAGUAUCAUCAUGUCCUAUCUGAGCUUAUUGAAAUGUUUCUUCCCUUUCCUUAAUCUUUAUAUCACUGUUCGCUUUUUGUGUUAAGUCAACCCAUUUGUUUCCUCCUAGUAUUUGAAACAUUGUAUGGCCACCCUAAGUCCUAACAAAAUGACUUCUGAUGAGGAGGAAAAAGGCCCAUGUUCCCACCUUCCUCUGAAAUUUUGGCCUGCUCCCAAAACUACCCCCAUUGAGGAGAGGUAGUUACACUUAAGAAAGAAGAGGUGAUAAAAACUUUUGGCCUUGUGUUUUAUGACUUAAAAGUUUUAAAUAGUAGUUUCUGUAGGUAAGUUUUUUUUUAUUCUGGUAAGAACAUUACUAUUUCUUUUUGAUGUAACUUUCACUGCUUAGAGGUACCAGGUAUUUGGUAGCUUGCCAUAUUAGGAUUUGUGCAAAUCAGUCUUUUCAAAUAUGACAUAAAUUAGAAAACCAUACCUGUAUUUUCUUAUCUAAAAAGAAUCCAAAGCUUAAAUUUUAUUAUUGAACUAAG